Molecule: ribosomal RNA, 500 nt
Filed under: uncultured bacterium
Lineage: Bacteria
Description: bacterial SSU rRNA
Rfam family: Bacterial small subunit ribosomal RNA
Source: RNAcentral
AGAGUUUGAUCCUGGCUCAGAUUGAACGCUGGCGGCAUGCUUUACACAUGCAAGUCGAACGGCAGCACGGGGGGGUAACCCUCUGGUGGCGAGUGGCGAACGGGUGAGUAAUGCAUCGGAACGCGUCCUGUAAUGGGGGAUAACCUGGCGAAAGUCAGGCUAAUACCGCAUACGUCCUGAGGGAGAAAGCGGGGGAUUGGCAACGACCUCGUGUUAUAGGAGCGGCCGAUGUCGGAUUAGCUAGUUGGUGGGGUAAAGGCCUACCAAGGCGACGAUCCGUAGCGGGUCUGAGAGGACGGCCCGCCACACUGGGACUGAGACACGGCCCAGACUCCUACGGGAGGCAGCAGUGGGGAAUUUUGGACAAUGGGGGCAACCCUGAUCCAGCCAUGCCGCGUGAGUGAAGAAGGCCUUCGGGUUGUAAAGCUCUUUCGGCCGGGAAGAAAUCGCUCAAGCUAAUACCUUGGGUGGAUGACGGUACCGGAAGAAGAAGCACCGGC